UGGGGAAUUUUGCACAAUGGGGGAAACCCUGAUGCAGCGACGCCGCGUGAUUUAGAAGGCCUUCGGGUUGUAAAAAUCUUUUCUAUGGGAAGAAAAUGACAGUACCAUAGGAAUAAGGACCGGCUAAUUACGUGCCAGCAGCCGCGGUAAUACGUAAGGUCCGAGCGUUGUCCGGAAUCAUUGGGCGUAAAGGGUACGUAGGCGGGUAAGCAAGUUAGAAGUGAAAUCCUAUAGCUCAACUAUAGUAAGCUUUUAAAACUGCUCAUCUUGAGGUAUGGAAGGGAAAGUGGAAUUCCUAGUGUAGCGGUGAAAUGCGCAGAAAUUAGGAGGAAUACCGGUGGCGAAGGCGACUUUCUGGCCAUAACCUGACGCUGAGGUACGAAAGCGUGGGUAGCAAAAAGG
This 402-nucleotide ribosomal RNA is filed under the name bacterium. Its description in RNAcentral is "partial 16S ribosomal RNA". It matches the Rfam family "Bacterial small subunit ribosomal RNA", at positions 355 to 776 of the family's 1533-position model. The record is from RNAcentral.